RNAcentral lists this ribosomal RNA (435 nucleotides) under uncultured bacterium. RNAcentral's name for it is "partial 16S ribosomal RNA". It matches the Rfam family "Bacterial small subunit ribosomal RNA", at positions 29 to 507 of the family's 1533-position model. The record is from RNAcentral.
AACGAACGCUGGCGGCAGGCUUAACACAUGCAAGUCGAACGCAUGCCUUCGGGCAUGAGUGGCAGACGGGUGAGUAACGCGUGGGAACCUACCCCUUGGUACGGGAUAGCUCCGGGAAACUGGAAAUAAUACCGUAUGUGUCCUGAGGGACAAAGAUUCAUCGCCAAGGGAUGGGCCCGCGUCGGAUUAGCUAGUUGGUGGGGUAACGGCCUACCAAGGCGACGAUCCGUAGCUGGUCUAAGAGGAUGAUCAGCCACAUUGGGACUGAGACACGGCCCAAACUCCUACGGGAGGCAGCAGUGGGGAAUAUUGGACAAUGGGCGCAAGCCUGAUCCAGCCAUGCCGCGUGAGUGAUGAAGGCCCUAGGGUUGUAAAGCUCUUUCACCGGUGACGAUAAUGACGGUAACCGGAGAAGAAGCCCCGGCUAACUUCGUG